UACGUAGGGUGCGAGCGUUAAUCGGAAUUACUGGGCGUAAAGCGUGCGCAGGCGGUUUUGAAAGCCAGGUGUGAAAUCCCCGGGCUCAACCUGGGAAUGGCAUUUGGGACUGCAAGGCUGGAGUGCGGCAGAGGAGACUGGAAUUCCUGGUGUAGCAGUGAAAUGCGUAGAUAUCAGGAGGAAUACCGAUGGCGAAGGCAGGUCUCUGGGCUGACACUGACGCUCAUGCACGAAAGCGUGGGGAGCAAACAGG
This 253-nucleotide ribosomal RNA is filed under the name uncultured bacterium. Its description in RNAcentral is "partial 16S ribosomal RNA". It matches the Rfam family "Bacterial small subunit ribosomal RNA", at positions 524 to 776 of the family's 1533-position model. The record is from RNAcentral.